This 490-nucleotide ribosomal RNA is filed under the name uncultured bacterium. Its description in RNAcentral is "partial 16S ribosomal RNA". It matches the Rfam family "Bacterial small subunit ribosomal RNA", at positions 30 to 507 of the family's 1533-position model. The record is from RNAcentral.
AUUGAACGCUGGCGGCAGGCCUAACACAUGCAAGUCGAACGGUUACAUGAAACAGCUUGCUGUUUCGCUGACGAGAGGCGGACGGGUGGGCAAUGUCGGGGAAACUGCGUGAUGGAGGGGGCUGACUACUGGAAACGGUAGCUACUACCGCAUAUAGCGGCAAGACGAUAGAGGGGGACGCCCGGAGCUCUUGCGAUCCUAUGGGCCCAGGUGGGAGUAGCUUGUUGGUGUGGUAACGGCUCACCAAGGCGACGAUCCCUAGCAGGGCUGAGAGGAUGAGCGGCCACACUGGAACUGAGACACGGUCCAGACUCCUACGGGAGGCAGCAGUGGGGAAUCUUCGACAAAGGGCGCAAGCCUGAUGGAGCCAUGCCGCGUGUAUGAAGAAGGUCUUCGGGUUGUAAAAUUCUUUUGUCGGGGAAGAAGGGAGUCAUGAUUAUCCCUACGCUCAUUGACGUUACCCACACAAGAAGCCCCGGCUAACUCCGUG